Molecule: ribosomal RNA, 251 nt
Filed under: uncultured prokaryote
Description: partial 16S rRNA
Rfam family: Bacterial small subunit ribosomal RNA
Source: RNAcentral
ACGGAGGAUGCAAGCGUUAUCCGGAUUCAUUGGGUUUAAAGGGUGCGCAGGCGGAAUGAUAAGUCAGUGGUGAAAUCCUACGGCUCAACUGUAGAACUGCCAUUGAUACUGUCGUUCUUGAGUACACUCGGAGUGGGCGGAAUGUGUCAUGUAGCGGUGAAAUGCUUAAAUAUGAGGCAGAACACCUGUGGCGAAGGCAGCUAACUGGAUUGUAACUGACGCUGAGGCACGAAAGCUAGGGGAUCAAACAG